AAUUACUUGAUUAUUUAAUUAUUUAAUUGUAAUUUUAUCUUCCUCGUUUUUCACCCAUUUCCUUGUCUAAACUCCCCUAAGCAAAAUUUCUCGCAUUAUUUUUCCUCUUGCUCUUCUUUACCAUUCACUUGUUAAUAAAGCUAUUAUUAUGAGUUAUAAAAAUGUGUUUGUGUGUGUUGUUAAGGAUGAUACUGUUUUUUUGCUGCUUUUGUGCUCUGCAUCGACAAAUGGACUGAACAACAACACAUUGAAAAAAGAGCAGUGAAAUCCCAUCAAGUACGUAUAAUAUUAUCAUCAUUAUUACCAUUAACCUGAUACAACAAAUAGAAAUACAAGAGGAACAAAAAAUAUCAAGGGAAAACAUGAAAAAAUGGCAAGACUUGGAAAAGAAGUGGAAGAAAUCUAUGUUGACUCUCGGGACAAUUUGUUUUUUUUACCAUUUAAUGACAAUGACCAUUUAAGAAGGAAAAGAUAAAGUUGAGUGGGUUACUUGUCUUGUUGAGUGACAGUGAACAUUAAUCAAUCAAACCACAAACAACAACAAUGAUUCUCUGUUCUUGGUUGUGCUAAAAAUGAUGAUUUAUCAUGAGUAGUCUUUAAUGGGUUGACGGACCAACACUUAACUAUUAGCUGAAUUUCAACAACUCAUGAAAACAUAAGGAGAGGAGGAAGAAGACAAGAUGUAGGAAAAGUGGAUUGACAAAAAAAAAUCAAAGACCAAUAUUAAAGUCUUACUGCCAAAAACUAUCAUCAGCUGGAAUACAUUUUUAUUUAAACGCAUCCAUUGGUGAAAGUGAUGAAUUAACAACAAAGUAAGACUCUUUAAUCAUUCAUAGCAGUCUUGAUUGAAAUGGAAUCGAAGAGAUUGGCCAUCGAUUAAAGCUUUUACAGUCCAGUGAGAAAUUUUAAGAGUUGGAUAAGCUAAAAUCAACUGACCUUUCAUGGAUGUUUACUUGUUGACACCGUAUAUUUUAAUCGCCAGGGAAACAUCGCCUUUCCUAACUAUUGGAAUCAAAUCAAUGAGAAAACGUAUUUUUAUUGUUUUUUCGGACUCUCCUCAUGUUAUCAAGAUUAUCUUCACAAAUGGACUAUACAAAUAACUUAAAUGGACUCCUUGAUGGAUGAGGAAAACUUGUCUUGUUGUUACUCUCAAAGAAAAGAUGACGAAUUAUAAGAAACACAAAACGAAGUGUAUAAUAAUGGCUUAUACCAAUUGCUUAAUUCUGUUGUUAAUAACAUAAACACUGUACAUGAUACACUUGCCUUUGGACUCGUUUUUUCCCUCUUGCUUCACAAACCUUGAAUUACUCUAUGAGUAAAGAAACCGAGAGAAACUUUUGUCAAAAUCUUUGCCUUAAUCAAUCUCUGUCAACGGAGAACGGAUUGAAAUGCAAGUCAAUCAAUGAGAGGAAAAACUCAACUCCAUGAUAUGCGAUCCUGUAGUAUACACACUGAUAAGGUAAAGAUGCUGAUGUUGAUGAUGAUGAUGGUGAUGAACACAAACAAAAAGAGAGGAAAAGACACAGAGAAAGACGGGCCAAAUGAGAAGCAAAAAAGAGGAUGAUUUGAAUUUAGUAAAGCCUUGAAUCAGAUUCCGUCUUAAUUUGAUGAAUGGUGAUGGUGGAUGAGAAAAGAUUCUGGAGGAAGAAGGAAAAGGAAAGGGGUUGAUACUUGAAAGAGAAGAAAAAAAAUAUAAAAGCAAAAGGAUCAUGUUGAUGAACAAAGAAGAUUGCAAGAAGUAGAAAUAUUCAAUCGAGAACAAAUCUAAUUACCAGGAUAGUUAACUGAUUGCUUUUGGAAAGUCUUUUAAUUAGCUGAUUAAAGAGUCCCGAAAAAAAACAGAGCAAAGACAAAGUCAUCUGAUGAUACGUUUCAUUUCCAUGGAUUUCCAUGAAGCUACUGGCAUUUUAAUUGUUACCCAUGGACCAGUUUUUCAGUGGAAAACUUGAUUACUGUAUCUUCAAGUCAACCGUUUCCAAUGGACAGAUUUAACUUGAUUUCUUGUUCAAUUAACCGAGUUUAUCUCAAACAAUGAAAUCAUAUUGUUUGAAUAUUUUUCCUGUUAAUUACCGGCUUACUGACAGUAUCAUGUCAACAGCAAACAAAAUUGACUAUAAUUAUAAGUUAAAUUAUCAUUUUUCAAAUGAUUUAUGAGUUAUUUUUGAUCAAAGAUAAUUUUCUUUUCACUUAAAUGAUAAUGUUUCUUUUGUGUGAAUAUUAAUCUAAUUUUAAUAACCAAUUUCUGGCCUGAUAGAUGAAAUUGACUCCAUUAUGAAUUGUGUGAUAUAUCUUUUGAUAUGAAAUGGUGAAAAUCAAGGAAACAAGAGAACUCAUUGAAUGGAAACUUUCAAUUGAUUGUAUUGAUCAAGAAAACUAAUCAAAGACUUAUUUCAUUAUGUAUUACCAAAUUAAAUGAGUUGGUAAAGGAAAAGAAAAAAUUGGUUCCAUUUUUGGGCCAUUUUUUGAUGUAUUAAUUUAAAGGUCAUAAUUUUAUUGUAAUAAUUGUUGUGAAAGAAAUUAUGUUUCUCUUUGUGUAGGAUGAUUAAAAGGUAAAUCAUACCUGUCAUGGACAUUGAUUGAUUCAAUUGAAAGUUAAAUUGUAGUAGCAAAUCUGAUGACUGUUAAUGAAAAACAAAAAAUGAAUGUUGCAUCGUAAAGGUUAAUAUUAAACAUUUAAUUUCUUUCUUCUCUUGCUAUUAACAUAAUCACAAAUUGGUAAUCAAAGUAAAUUAAGAUGUAAGAAUCUGUCAGGUGAAUUAAGAUUUAGAUUAUUUUGGAUAAACUGAUCAAUGGAAUAUCAAAAUGAAUAAAUGAAGGUUCAAUCAUUUGUUCAAGUCAUAUUUGGAUGCAUUUUUCUUCUUCUCAAUGGUCAAAGCUUCAGUUUGAUGGAUACAAAACGAUGAAUAGAUGGCGAUUUUAGAUUGAAAUUGGUUUGAUCAAGUAAAUUAAAAUGAUUAUAAUGGUGUAACAUAAUAUUAUCAAAUUGUAAUUAACUUAGUUGGUCUAAAAUUGAUUAGAUUUGAGAAUGUUUUUGUAUCUUUAUGUUUAUGGUUUACGAUACAAGUGUGUGAAGAUACAUUUAUAUAUGCAUUUAUAACAAAUUGAGAGAGAAAUCAGUUUUGUCAACUUAAUGAAAUAUAAUAUAGUUAAUCAGAUAUCCUGCUGGUUCAACAAAAUCAUUCAUUAAUUGAACGAUUCUGAAAGGUCAGCAUAGAAAGAUAAAGAUUGAUUCACAAUUUAACUUGAAUUGGGAAGAUGAGUUCGGGAAUAUGUCAGAUAAUGGAGGGAAGGAAGAUGAUGGCGAUGAUGAGCUAAGAAUGCAAGUUGGGGAUAAGAUGAGGAUUGAAGGAACCAGACGAAAGAUUGAAACAGAAGAACGAGAAAACGAUAGCAAAUGUUUAGGAUGUUGUGAAGAUUCAGUUGAUCUAGAAAAUGAGAGGAAGAAGAAGAAGAAAAAGAAGAGAAAAAAUGAGAAAAGCUAAAAAAAUUUUGAUAAACGUUACAAGAUGAAGUUGUGAUCACGAAAUUGGUAAGAUGAGUAUCACAAAUUGAUUGCAUUUUAAUUUGGCGCAUCAAUCAGUGAGAAAGAGAAUCUCUCUUGAUGAAGAUGAUCAUGAUCAUCAUUUUUUUACAUGGUUAUAGGUUUAAUCUAGGUUAUUCUGAUGAGAAAUUUUGUGUUAACUGUAAUCUAAUGUAUAAUUGAAGUGGUUAAAUGAUCCAAAACAAUGGCCAAAGUCAAUGGCUUUGUUUCCUUGCUGUUGUCAUUUCAAUUACAUAGACAGUAAAAUAGCAGAAACAGAUUUGGUUAACAAUUACAGUUGUUGGUUCAAGACAAAUGGCUCAUUGGAAAUGUUCAAUUGAUUGUUGGACAAACAUUUAGUAACGAUUUAGUUUUUAUUGAGAUUCUCAAUUGUAUUGUUGACUUAGCGUAAGAAAUUUUGCAGCUUUUCACUUUCAGCUGAUUUUAUUGGGGAAAGCAAUGUAAGCAACUAAAAAGUACAACCUUUUCCAACUUUCGACUUUCAUUCAAUUCAGUGAAUUGUGAAUUCACUCGAUUUCUCUGGUUAAUUACAAUUUAAUUUUAACUUGUUUCAAAUUUGAUUAAUUUACAUUCAGGUUAACACGAUUUAAAUUAAUGGUGUUACUUGAAAAUUGACUCUAUGGUUUUUUAUUUCCUUAUUUUGCCUCUUUCAUUGCAUCUAUUCACUCCUUUUUUUGCUACAAUUUAACACUUGGAUAAACCAAAGGUGAAAUUUCAUCCAAGAUAAUUUUUGUGAUGAAGAUUAUCAAUAGAAUGAUGAUGAUGACGAAAAGCAUUAUAAAAUUAUCUUUUUCUUUCUUUUCUUCAGUUUCAACCUUCACUUUUUAAAGUUCAUGAUUAGUCUCUAAUAUUGGAGGCUAGCCAAAGUCUUGUGCACAACCCCAACUAGUUAUCAUCUUGAGCAUUUACUUAACCGAUUAUCGGCAGCUACGGUCUUGAUCAAGUUUGCUCAUCAUCAUCAUUAUCAUCAUCAUUAUCACCAUCACCGUCUCUUUUAUCCUCUCACAACUUUUCUUUUCACUUUUUUUACAUUCUCAGGUCUUCUCGAAUCUAUACCUCGAGUUUACCUUAACCAUCAACAGCAUCAUCAUCGUCAUCAUCUCUGCCUCUCCCUGGCAGCUUAUUUUACUUUGCCUUUUGCUGUGCUUAUGCUGACAUUUUUACAUCACUCAAUAAGCUCCCACUCUUUCAGUAUAACAAAAAUUUCCAAUAGCCUCGAAGACUUCACUGUUUGUUAACCAAUCCAGGCGUGAACAUCACCAUCGUCAAAGUGUGGAGAGGGAACAAAAAGUCCAACUCUUUCAUUAUGUAUUUGCUUUUAUUUGUGUGACCAGUAUGAUGGACAGAAAAAAAGGCUUGAUUCCGAACAGUUCUUCUCUGUCCAAUAUCCAUGUAGUAAAACCAGUGAUUAUCGUUCCACUUUAUUCAUCUUUUUUGUCCUCCGUUCAGUCUGUUUGAUCUUCUGGUCAUCAUGUUAACCUGUUGAUGAAUGAAAAAUGUGAUUAGAUUCAGAUUUUUACAAACAAUUUGGACAAGUUGCAAGUUGCUUUAUUUACCAGUUUGACAACCUUUUAUAGAUAAUAAUUUCACUUUCAACUGAGAGUUUCAACAGUUCAACAUCUUUUUUAUUAUGUUUCUCUAUCAAAGGUUUCAACGUCUUCAAUUUAACGAGAGAUUUAAUAAGAAAACUGUGAAAACUAUUUUGUUACAUAUUUGUAUACAUUUAUUCAACAUAUAUUCAAUAAAAUGAUUAUUUAGUCUCCUGUUGAAAGCUUACUUGACUUGCAAACAUCAACAAGAUUGAUAAGUUUGGACAUCUGAAUUAUGUUUUAUGAUAAAUGCACCCGGACUCAAUAUAUUUCUUACACUUUCCCUGGCCUGCUUUAAUUUAAUACACUAUUCCUAUACGCUGUGUAAAAAAGCAAAACGACAUUCAUUUACUUGUAAGUUACAUUAAGCACAAGAGGGAAACUACUUUGUUAUACACAGAUGACCACACUGAGAUAUUUUUUAUCCUUGGUAGUAAAGGGUACAAAAUUAGUAGGAUAAUGAAUGUGAAGGAAGCGAAAAAGUGGGAAUUGUAGAAAUAGAAAGAGUCAAGGAGUUAAGAAAGCAAAGAGAAAUGAUUGAGAAAAAUCAUUCAUCAUUUUGCUUUUCCUCCUGUGGACAGGCUCGCUGGUCCGAUUCAUUGAUUGUAGCAAAUUUUGGAGACAACCAAGUUA
This is a non-coding RNA of Tetranychus urticae (two-spotted spider mite), 5763 nucleotides long. The record is from RefSeq and is a predicted model, not a curated record. Lineage: Eukaryota; Metazoa; Arthropoda; Arachnida; Trombidiformes; Tetranychidae.